AGAGAGAGAGAGAGAGAGAGAGAGAGAGAGGUCCAGCGAGAGAGAGAAGAAAGAGAGCGCUUGAGUUCCAGAGUCCCAGAGAGAGAGAGAGAGAGAGAGAGACAGAGAGAGAGACAGAGAGAGAGAGACAGAGAGAGAGCGAGUUCCACAGCCCUGCGUGUCCCUGUUCUUCUGGUUUUCUCCUGAUACCCUGUGGUACACCACAGUAACCCCGGCUGUGGCUGGGCGCUGUGGUGUCGCUGUGGUCCUGCCCCAGGCUUCAAAGGCCCCAG
Long non-coding RNA from Oncorhynchus tshawytscha (Chinook salmon), 272 nucleotides. The record is from Ensembl. NCBI's taxonomy places the organism in Eukaryota, Metazoa, Chordata, Actinopteri, Salmoniformes, Salmonidae.